Molecule: long non-coding RNA, 23156 nt
Filed under: Nicotiana tabacum (common tobacco)
Lineage: Eukaryota; Viridiplantae; Streptophyta; Magnoliopsida; Solanales; Solanaceae
Description: long non-coding RNA (NTAB_LNC002011)
Source: RNAcentral
ACAAGUCGGCACACUACCAAAACCAAUCAAUAUUUUCAUUUUUAAGACAAAACCAAAGUUAUUUAACAAUAAACCUGCAUAAGGAGCUUAAAUCAAAACAACAGUGCAGAAAGAAAGCCCGACAUCGGGGUGUCACUAGUCAUGAGCAUCUACUACAACCGUUUGACAACAUCAAGACUAACAUAGCCUGGAAAUAACUGAAUACAACUAAGGGAGGAUAAGGAGGGAGAAAAGCAGGCUUGCGAUCGCCAAGAGCUACCUUACUAACUCCGAUGGACUUGUUACUAAGUAAUCAACACCCGCUACCGGGUUUAGAAAUACCUGGAUAUGCACACAAGGUGUAGGGAGUAAUGUGAGUAUGUCAACUCAAUAAGUAAUAAAAGUAAAUAGAGACUGAGUAGUAGUGAUGAGCAAUAAAACAUAUACAGUUCAUAUCAUGAAAUCUCAGUAAAAUAUAGCAGGCUUUUAAAAUCAGGGUUUUGAAUCAACUAAGUUCAUUUAAAUCUAGUUUCAGUAAAACCAUUUAAAACAUCUUUUAACAGUUUUCAACGAAGUGAUGAAACGGUGAGUAAAAAUGAUGAAAACAAAAAUAGCCCCGCAGAAAAAAAAACUCAUAUACAGCCCCUCGGGCAACAUAAAUCAAGAACAGCCCCUCAGCGAACAUCACUCGUGAACAGCCCCUCGGGCAAACAUGAAUCAUAAACAGCCCAUCGGCCAUUACCUCACAAUCGCUCGUAAACAGCCCCUCGGGCAUAAUAUGAAUCAAGAACAACCCCUCGAGCAAAACAUCAUAUCACUCACUUAUGGUACACGCGCUCACUGGAGGUGUACAGACCCCGGAGGGGCUCCUACAGCCCAAGCGCUAUAACAAGCCACCUUAUGGUAUAAAUCAAUCAGGCCCCCGGCCUUCUAACAAGCCACCUCAUGGCAUAAAUCAAUCAGGCUCGUGGCCUCACAAAAAUCAUGAAUCAACAACAACAUGAUGCGGCGUGCAGCUCGAUCCCAUAAUAUCCUCACAACACAGGUCCUCGGCCUCACUCAGUCAGAAACCUCUCAAGCCACUCGAUCUGUUAGUAAAACAGGGUGCUCGGCCCAAAAAUAUCAUUUUAUGCAUCAGAACGGAGUAAUAAAGACUGAAUAAUGAAAUCAGUAAACAUAGCAUGACUGAGUAUAGAUCUUAAAUCAAAUACAUCUUCGUUUUUGGCAUUUGAUUGAUGAUUUCAAAGUGAAAUUUGGGUUUUUUGGUCUAAAGUUAAAGUGAUUUUUUAGUUUUGAACAUCGAUUCGGAGUCGGAAUAAGAUGAAACUAGUAUGGUUGGACUCAUAAUUGAAUAAAUUGUCUACUUUUUUGAGUUUUGUCGGGUUCCGAGAUGGGGGCCCAGGUUGGGCUUUUUGGCUGAUUUUGGGCUUUUGAUUAAAUAUUCGACCUUUUCCAAUUGUGAUUGGUUACUUUAGCAUUGUUUGAUGUAUUUUAGUUUUUUUGGUUAGUUUCGAGUCGUUCAGAGGUCGAAACGCGCAAGAUGGCAUUUUUGGAGAAUCACUUGGCUUGCUCGGUAUUGGAAUUGGCUAGUUUGAGGUAAGUAAUGAUUGUAAAUCGACUCCAAAAUCGCCUAAAUCCAAUCUCCCCAACUCAAAAUAUGACCAAAUAAACAAACCCUUGUUUUAUAUAUUUUUCUGCCAGUUAUGCUGCCUCGAUUCUCAUGCCAACGAACCUGAAAUUCACUUUUGAUGCCUCCAAUGGAUUCCAUGUAACAUUUUAGUCAAGUUAGGCUCUUGAAUCACUCCAUUUGACUUUAUAUUGAAGGAGAUGUGUUGCUUUCAAUAUUUGAAAAUAGGCAGAUUUUUAAAAACGAAUUCAGUGGCAAUUUCGUAAUUAAUCUGGAAAAUCUCACAACUCAAUUCUUAGUAAAAUGACCCUAAAAUCCUUAUACGAUGUUCAAAUUCGAUUAUUCUUUUUGCUAUGGCUCCAUAAUUAUGAUACGGAUCUAAUGCUUCAAUAAAACAUUAAUCGGAGCUUAUUUGCUUAAUAUAGUACCAUUUAUCCUUGAAAAACGACGUUGACACAUAAAAAACGAGCGUAACACAACCCAAACCUAUAUGAAACUCACACGAGCCCCUUGGGACCCUAUUCGAACAUACCAAAAAGUCUCAUAUCAUAAUACGGACCUGUUUGACGCCUCAAAACACAAAUAACAACAUCGAAACGACGAACCACACCUCAAUUCGAAAUCAAUGAACUUGAAACUUCCACAACCGAUGUCGAAACCUAUCAAAUCACGUCCGAUUGACCUAAAAUUUUAUGCACAAGUCACAUUUGACAUUAUGGACCGUCUCCAACUUCCAGAGUCGAAAUCUGAUCACGAUAUGAAAAAUCCACUCUCGGUCAAACUUUUCAAAAUUCCAACUUUCGCUAUUUCAAGCCAAAUUCUAUUAUAGACCUCCAAAUCACAAUCAGAACGCGCUCCUGAGUCCAAAAUCACCCAACAGAGCUAACGGGACCAUCAUAAAUCCAAUCUGAUUCACAUAAGUCAUAAUACUUCCUACGGAGCUACUCAUGCCCUCAAACAAUCGAGCGAAGUGCAAUUGCUCAAAUGAUCGAUCGGGUCUAAACAUACGUUCGUCCUCGAAUGUGUCCAUAGUUGGUCCAAAAGCCAUCAACUUACUGUAUAAUCACACUAUGCACAUACCUGGGGGUGAUCCCACGUCACCGUAUCCCAUAUAGGUCUGAUAACACAAUAUGACUAAAAUUUCUUAAUCCAACCUAGUCCAUAAAUCUUAGGGCCCAAUUUCCAACAUCCGGAAUUUUCUAUAAGAUGAGAACCUCGCAUCUACACACUGUAUAAUUUCGAACAAGUUGUAUCAAACAUAUCCGUAACCCAAGAUGUAAUCACAUGAUAUACCACAUAACUCAAACACUCAUGGCGAUAACUCCUAAUCACAGUAGCUGCUCAAAACAACCCAAUACCUGUAAUACACCUCUUAACAACCAAAGCCUCGUUCUAACACUUUCAUAUAUUGUCAAUGAUGAAAGAAACACGUAGAAACUCAUAACCAUUCGUCAGAUCAACAAGUCAUGGAGGUCACUCUUCUCUGAUAGGAACUAUAGCAGAUUUCUAAGUCGACUUUGUCACACCUCCUUUUUACAUCCGGGAGGGGAUAUAAAGGAGUUUUUCCAAUUGAAGUGACAUUAUUCGAAAUGGGAUUAUUUAUUUAAUUUUCAGAGUCACCACUUGGAAUAAUUUAUAGUGUCUCAAGUCACCGGUUUAUUUUAAAUCCCAAAUCGAGGAAAUUUCGACUUUAUUUUAAAAGUUUGCGAACCAAAAAUUCUAAGUAAGGAAUUCUGUUAACCCGGGAGAAGGUGUUAGGCAUUCCCAAGUUCCGUGGUUCUAGCACGGUUGCUUAGCGAUUUGUACUUAGCUUAAGUCGUUUAACUACACAUUUUUAGGACCUAUGUGCAUUUUAUAUUUUUACCGCUUUUAAUCACUUAAUUUGUUCGUAAUGAAAGAAUUGAGUUACGCGUACGUAUAGUCAUUUCCUUUGGCGCGUCAAAAAUCAUGUCACGCGUACGUAUCCACAAUUAAUCACGUUUUAUUAAUUAUUAAGAAAAUUGGGUUGAAGUUGUGCGAACGCAUCCCUCAAUUUAUUUUUUAGAACUAAAUUCGUAAUUAUGUUACGCGAACGUAUACAUAAUCACAAUAAUAAUCUAAGUCGUGCUUAAAGCAAACUAACGGAGUUCAUUAUUCUUCCUAAAUUUUGAGAUUAUUGUGAGGCUUAAGAGUUAUACAUCCUUCUGACUUAGCACCACGCAUGGCCUAUUAUUAUUCCUUGCCAAGAAUGAAACAACUCCAAAUUUAUCAUCUACCCAAAUUAAAAGCAUUUAUUCGAGAACCAAGAUUACGUAUAUCACAAUCAAAAUAAAAACUAAUUAAAAUAAUUUAAUUGCAAACUAAGUCAUGCCACUCAAACAACGUAGAAACAAAAAUCAACCAACACACACACCAAGCUAUUGUAAUAAAAGGAAAUGAGAAUGAAAAUUGAGAAAUAGACCUUUUAUUGAUGAACAAAACUGAAAAUUGCAAAUCAAUCAGGCUUAACAAGGCAACAAUCUUGAGAUUGAAACAUCAAAAUUAUGAACCGGAACCUCAAAUUGACAUCGGAGAGCUCGAAACCCAAAUCAACCUUAGAUAAACUAGAACCUCCAAACAUUUGACAAAGCAGACCAUCCCUUAAUAUUUGUGCUCUUUAAAAUGUUUACCACCGCCGAAAACUUUGUGAACAGGAUGUUCCCUAAAACAAAAGCCGACAAACUUUAGACUUAAACCACGACGUUACGGGAGGAGAUGAUGUUGUUUUCUUAUUUUUAUCAGAAUCAAAAAAAAGACGAAGAAGAGUGAUAGUUAUUAUUACGGAGAUGAUGUUGUUUCCUACAUUACACUCCUUGUUUUCUUAUCAAUCCUGCCAUUUUUAGUGUAGCUCCUAGGUCUAGGUAUUGAAAACUUAGGGUAAGGUUUCUAUAAUUGGAUAUUUUAUAUGGAGGUGGGAAGGGAUGAUGGCCACUAGAUUAGAAGGAAAUACAUAGCUAGGAUUAAAUCUUGCACUUAAGUGGGCUAAUGGGUUGGAAAGAAUGGGCUAAGGGUAAUUGGGUUGGACCAUGUCAUUUGGGUUAAAACUUAGGCUAAAAAGACCAAAUAAUAUAAUGUAUCUAUAAAAAUGUAAAAAUCACUCUAAAUUAAAAUAAACUAAUAUAAAACUAAAUACUACGAGUGAAACUAAUUUUUUGUAUUUUCAAAUGUUAUAAUACUAUAAAUAUAAAUAUACUAAUUGACUUUAACCUAAAGAUGAAAAUAUUUAUUUUAUUUUUUGUAAUUUUUAUUUUUUUGUGAUAAAAUAAAGUAAAAGAGUCAAAACUAUUUAAAAUAACGAUAUUAAACCUAAACUAAAUAUUUUACGCUAAAAUGUGUAAAAUCUUGGGGAUGGUCAAAAAUUACAUGUCUACAGCUGCCCUUCUUUGACUGGAAACGCGAAGAGUUUUCAGGCAAAGAACGACGAGACAGGUUUUUCGACCCGACCCUUAUUUAGAGCGACCAAAAACUAAGAGAAAGGAGAAUGUGACCAAGCCCUGGUAUCUGAGCUGCCUACAUAUCCUUGGCUAUAAAGGAAUCAGGCCACGUGUAGUUCGGAAUUAGGAAGAGUGAUGGAGUAUACCGAGGUGGAGAGCCGAUUGAGGUGUCGUCGAGGUUCCGGUCCGCGGUAUCGUUAUUACACCAAAAUCAAAAAUGAAAAGACUAACUAAGCUUAUCAGCUACGAGUUACAAGAUUACUAUCUAUGAGUCUUCUGAAGUUUGAUCUUCAGUCUUGGUUGGUCCUUCAUGCGGACUCUGAUCUGAAUCUUAAUGCUUGUUAGCUGCAGGUGCUGGUUCUUUCCUUUUUCAACUUCUCAGAUCAAGGCGAGACAUGCAAAGCUUGUGAUUUCAAUCACGUCUUGAGCGGUCCACAUCUUUUCUCCGCUUCUGCACUUUAAGUUCACUUCUUUUUCUUUUUUUUCUUUUUUCCUUAUUCGGGAUUGAGACUCAUUCUUUUGGUCGUCUCGAACCUUGUGCCUUGAGGUAAAACCUGAUCAGACACCAAAACAAGCAAACGAACGAAUGAAAUUUUUUUGCCCCAGUUUUCACUAGGAAAAUUCGUGAGUUAUUUUAAUAAAAUUCUAAACUACUUCUUUAUUGAAAGCAAUAAAAGGUCGGGAUUGUGUAUCCUUGGGAAAAAGAGAUUAGGGAGUGGAGUCCCUAUAUCUAAAAUGAAAUCAACUAGGGAUUGGAGACCCUAAGUUGGAAAGAUUACCAGGUUAUGUUGGCAUCAACUAAGGAGUGGGACCCUAUGUUGGAAAAGAUUACCAAGUUAUGCUGGCAUCAACUAGGGAGUGGGACCUAUGUUGGAAAAGAUUACCAGGCUAUGCUGGCAUCAACUACUGAAUUGGACCCUAUUUUGGAAGAGAAAACUAGGGAGUGGAGACCCUAUGUCUAAACCGAACCAAGAAGGAUUUUUGUGUUUUUUUUUUUGGAAGAAAAUCAUUUUUUUGUGUUUGAGAAAAUCAUUAUUUUAAACAAAUUGCUCAAACGCUUUUUUUAAGAAAUUAUUAUCCUAGGAGAAAAUUCACCAGGCUAGGUUUCUUUUUUUUUGUAUCUUAGGAGAAAGAUUCAUCAGACUAAGAUUCUUUUUUUUGGUAUCUUAGGAGAAAGAUUCAUCAGACUAAGAUGUAUAUCCUAGGAGAAAAUUCAUCAGACUAGGUUUUCUAUCUUAGGAGAAAUAUUCAUUAGACUAAGAUUUCGAUCCGAGGAGAAAAGUUCAUCAGACUAGGUCUUUUUUUGGUAUCUUAGGAGAAAGAUUCAUCAAACUAAGAUUUCUAUCCUAGGAGAAAAUUCGUCAGACUAGAUUUUCUAUCUUAGGAAAAAGAUUGAUCAGACGAAGAUUUUGAUCCUAGGAAAAAGUUCAUCAGACUAGGUCUUCUAUCUCAGGAGAAAGAUCCAUCAGCCUAAGAUUUUGAUCCUAGGAGAAAAUUCAUCAAACUAGGUCCUUUUUUGUUAUCUUAGGAGAAAGAUUUAUCAGACUAAGUUUUGUUUUGUUAUCUUAGGAGAAAGAUUCAUCAAACUAAGAUUUUUAUACUAGGAGAAAGAUUCAUCAGACUAAGUUUUCUUAUCUUAGGAGAAAAGAUUCAUCAGACUAAGAUUUUGAUCUUAGAAGAAAGUUCAUCAAACUAGGUUUUCUAUCUUAGUAGAAAGAUUCAUCAGACUAAGAUUUUUAUUGGGAGGAAAAUCCAUCUGACUAGGACUUUUUAUCCUAGGAGGAAAAAUAUGGAGAUCAAUGGCAAGGUUUUGUGCACAAUGGCAAGGUUUUGUGCACAAUAGCAAGACAAAUAAAGGCGAAUAUUUGAGGAACUUCCCUUUGUCGGCUCUUCUCUUCUUUUCUUUUUCUUCUCUUUUUUUUUUGUUUUUUUUUCUUUUUUUUGAACCACUUUCCUUGAACUGCCUUGUUCCUGUUUCACACAAAGAAAAAUUUGUCAGUUUUGAAAAUGGUGGUCAGUUUGUAGCCUUGAGUCUUGGGCAACUUGGCUUCUUCUCAAUCAGCUUGAGUCGGUUUCAAGAAACUUUUGCUCUACAUAAACCCUAAUUAUUUCACACCCAGUACCAUUUAUAUUUGUGGCUCAAUCAGCCUUAUCCCAACUGGAGAUCUUUUCUUAGAUGACCUUUUCUGAUAUCUUGAGUGACUUCCUGCUUUUGAGCAAUUUGUCUGUCAGAGAGAAUCACAAGUUAUCUUUGCUUGCGCCAAGUAGGUUGACAAGAGUCUUUUGGGGGAGCUUUUGCAUGAAUCCUAAAGGCAUGUUACAAGUAGGAACUGAGUAUGCUGGCCAAAUUUACUUUGUGCAACUAAAAAGCUGGUAGCAGAUUUUGAAAUCUUUUUUUGCUUGUUUUGACAGGACUAACUUAGAGUGAAGGACACAAUAAUGCAAAGAAACAAGUAUUAACAAGAAGUGCCCCUGUUGGAAGGACGGAAGGAAGAGUUUUUUUUCAAUAACUAGCCUUAAUGAUCAUGACAUGCAUUUUGGACUUGAUAGUCAAUCUAUCAAACUAACCAAAUCUUUUCUUUUACCAUUCUUAUGACCUUUGAAGUCGGGCUUGUUCGUGAUGAUCCUUUGCAUCGGCUUCAUGACUCACUUUCGACAAGUGUUGGCCCAAGGUGUUUUCACGAACCAGUCUCUCUCAUUUAUUCAUCUCUGCUUACCGUCGUCUUACAGUGCCCAUGAGGGUUUUUAAUAGUAAGACUCUCUCAUUUUUCUUCUUUAUUUUUCUUUUUCUUUUGCUUUCUUGUGCGAGCAUCUUGACAGUGUUCUAUGUCGUGUGAAAACUAUUGUUCAUUGCAUGCGUCUCUUGGCAUUCUUGAAGGCUGAAUAGGAGGUCUUUAUUUGGAAGGUUUUUGGAUAGGGUUGGAAAGAAAUGACGUCAUGAAAUUUUAAAAUAGACUCAAAGUAAAGGGUUGUAGAUUUACAACUCUUGGAAUCGACUCUUUCAAAAGUGAAAUAAAAUCUUUUCCCCAGUUUCAGCUAUUGGGAUUUUUUUUUUUUGGAAUUCUUAUUUGGUUGGACCAAACCGUGAGGUUGCCUACGUAUCCUUUAUUAAGGAAUCAGGUCGAACGUAGUUCAAACAUCUGACCUAACUAUUUUUCAUCUUUGUUUCUGUUUCGUUUUUUUUCUUUUUCUAUUUUUUACUUUUCGUUUUCAAAACAAGUUGCCCCAAUUUCUAUUUUCUGGGCGCAUGGACCAUUGACAGUUCUUUUCUUCUUCAUCUUUUUUCACUUGAAAUUUCUAUGAAUUGCCCCAGUUUGUACUCUUGAGACAUUGAAUUUUUUUAUUUUUCUUUUUUUUUCAUUUUUUGUUUUUUUAAUCUUCAUUCUAUACUUGAUUCCAAAAGAGGGUGGUCAAAGAAAAUAACACAAGUUCAAAAGGGGUAACAAAGGGUAUAAAGUGUUUGGAUAGCAAAAAGGGCCUCCCAGCCUCGAGAACGUCAAUUAUAGUAUCUUUUCGCGAUCACAUCAUUGAUGAACAUGCUUGUCUUCUUGGGUCUUUUUUAGUAUAAAGCUGUAUGAGCAAUACUUUCCUCGCUGUGAAUGACCCUUGUCAAUUUGGGUGACUUUCCUUGGAUUUUGUCUUGAUUUAGAAGAUGUAUUUUGCAAUUUUCAUGUUGUCUGGAAUACACCUUCUAUUGAAAACACUUUCUAUCUCUUAGUGCUAAACAAACUUCAACCCAUCCCAUUAUCCUUAAGCCCGAUCUUCUCAAAUGACUCAAAAGGUAGAGAUCCUUAACUUCCAUGAGCAUGACUAUUUUGGUUCCAUAUAAAAUUGGCUCAUGCUUAUUGUUUAAAUGUUUUAUGUCUCUAUUCAUCUUCGAAAAUGUCUCUUUCUCACUUAUCCAAUUCAAGACUAAAUCAGUUUUCUAAGAUCUGGCCAAAAUUCCGCAUGCAUGUCAUGUCAUUAGAACUAGCAUGAAAAGAACUAUGCACAAAAUGGCUAACUACUUUUGUUUAAUUGAAUAAAGGAUAGAAAGGUCCAAUAGCACAAAAAGAAGAAGAAAAGAUGACAAAAUAAGCUACCAUGACUGAAGGAGGAGUGACUUUCUAGUUACUAAGCGAUAUCUUAGCCACACAUUCGCACAUCAGCACUACUAUGGCAUUUGACCAUUUUGAUUUCUUUGGAUUCAACACUCAAAUUUUGACAAUCAUCCCGAGCAGCCCAUGUCUUAUUGCUCAAAUCUGGUAAAGUCAACCUCACAUUUGCCUCCAUUAAAUUUUUUGCCGCCAAAUUGCCUACUUGCCCUCUCGUGAUCUUGGAUCAACAACAAUGGUGCUUGUUCCAUUGGUUGAGAAGAUGUUUUUAUUUUUGAAAGAUCUUGGAUUGUUUUUGUGACUCGCCAUUGCAAACCAACUACCUUUGACUAGCUUUUAUUUCAAAACAACAGGCAUGUUAGAAUAAACACUCUCUUUCUUUUCUCUUUUUUUUUGUUUUUAACCAUUCGAUCGAACUUGAUGUGGGUUGCCUACGUAUCAUGACGCCGCAUUAAUCAGAUCUUUGCAUAGUUCGAGAAGAUCAGGAAUAAAGUAAAUAAACUAACUUUUUUUGGAUUUUGAAUUUUAUUUUACUUUUUCGAAAGAAAGACUUAUAAAGAAGAAAGAGAAUAGUUUUGGAUUUUGAUUUUUCUUCAGAAUGUUUGCAAAGAAAGACUUCUAAAGAAGAAAGAUUUUUUUUUUUGAAUUUAUGAAAGAAAUACUUCUAAAAAAAGAAAAUAUUUUUGAAUCUUGAAUUUUCUUUUCAAUUUUUGAAGAACAAAAAAAAAAUUGGAUUUUGAGAAGAAACUAAAAGAAAAUAUUUUUCUAUAUUUUAUUUUUUUAAAAAAAAUUGGGGUCUAAAAGAAAGAAUUUCUAAGGAAGCAAGUAAUGGAAAAUAUUUUUGGAUUUUUUUUUAAAAGAAAUUGUGGUCCCAAAGAAUGACUUUUCUAAAGUAAAGGAAAAUAUUUUUGAAGUUUUUUUUAAAAUGUGGGCCGGAACCGAUGAGGUUUGCCUACGUAUCUCAAAUUCGGUAAGAAACAGACCCGCGUAGUUCGGCCGUUUUGACAUAAUUGAAAAAACAUGAUGUUGACUCACUUUCAUUUUUUUGAAAUACAUUUUGUGUUUCUCUUUUUUUCAAAAUUUUGGCAGAAUUUCGAGGCAUUUUAAAUGUGAUGACCCAAAAGAUCAUCACUUGUGUUGCAAUAAAAUUCUACAUUCCGAGGACUUAAAAAACCUCCCUAAGCACCACCUCGAUUUGCGUGCAUCGUCCGGACGCAUAGCCUGAAAGCUUAAAUGUGAAAAUCUGUGAAAAAUGAUAAGUUUUGACGGUAAAAUGAAUAAAUUUGACUUCAAUCAAUAUUUUGGGUAAACGGACCCGGACCCGUGAUUUGACGGUCCUGGAGGGUCCGUAGGAAAAUAUGGGACUUGAGCGUAUGCCUGGAAUCGGAUUCCGAGGUCCCAAUCCCGAGAAACGAAUUUUUUAAAGAAAAUUAUUUUCUAAAAUUGUUUAAAGAAAUUUGAAAUGAAAUUUGUUUAGAACAUGGUGGUAUCGGGCCCUUAUUUUGGUUCAGGCAUCCGGUACUGGUCUUAUAUAUGAUUUAAGACAUUUCUGUGAAAUUUGGUGAAAAACGGAUGUCAUAUGACUGUAUUCGGACUUAAAUCGCAAAAUUUAUGUUUAACGAAGUUUUGAGAAAAUUUCAUUGAUCUCGAGAUUUAAUGUGAUGUUCAUGAUGUUAUUUUGAUUAUUUGAUUACACGAAUAAGUCCGUAGGAUGUUUUUGAGGUUUUGUGUGCGCUUGGUAUGGAGUUCCAAGGGCUCGGGUGAGUUUUGGGUAGGUUUCGGGGGGUCUAAGGCUUAAAAACUGAGCUUUUGCAGGCUCAGAGUGGUAGAGGACCUCUGAACAGGCAUGCGGUCUGCACGAUAUGGACUGUUGCCACGGAGAAGCCUGUGCGGCCGCACUAGUUUUGGUGCGGUCCGCGAUGAAGAACAAUUUACUGGUCCAACUUCGGAAGUCUAUAUCUUUUUAUCUACAGAGAAUUGUGAGAUAUUUCAAAAACAAAAGUUGUAGCUCUUCGUGUCUAGUUUCCAGAAAUGCAAAGAAUUCACAAUUUGGACAUCUUUAGAGAAAGUUAUGGCCGAAAUACGUAGACCUGUCACUGCAGAACACAGGAAGCCUGUGUGGCCGCAGUUGAUUUUGUGCGGUCCGCACACGACAUCUGAGGGCAGUAUAUUUAGACGGGAUUUUCAGUUAUUUUUCAUUUUUUAAGACCCCAAAAACAUAAGAGGCGAUUUUUCAAACAACCUUUCUUCUCCAAAGCAAUUGUAAGAAGUUUUUAACUAGUUUUCUUCAAUCAUUAACAUCUUUUAACAUGAUUUCAACUUCAAAUCAAUGAUUUUCAUUGGGGAAAUUAGGUGUUUUGGUAGAACCUAGGUUUUUCAAAAAUUGGGUAUUUCGACCUCGAUUUGAGGUCCGAUUUCAAAACAAAUACAUAUUUGAGCUCGUGGGGGAAUGGGUAAUCGGGUUUGGUUUAAACCUCGAUUUUGACCACGUGGGCCUGAGGGUGAUUUUGACUUUUUGGGGUAAAACUUUAGAAAACUCAUUUUCAUGCAUUCAAAUUGAUUCAUUUAAUGUUUAUUGAUGUAAUUAAGUAACUUGUAGCUAGAUACGAGCGAAUUGACGGAGGAAUCAAGGGGUAAAGCUAUAAUUGAAACUUGAGUUGUGUUCGAGGCAUCGAGGUAAGUGUUUAGUCUAACCUUAGCUUGAGGGAUUAGGAGUUAUGUCAUAUUUGCUAAUUGCUUCUUGUUGAGUACGACGUAUAGGCAUGGUGACGAGUAUCUAUACGUUGGUGACAAGCAUGACCGUGGGUCUUAUUUUGUGAUUUUCAUGACUUCGUUGUAUUAUUCAUGCCAUGGUGAAGAUUUCUAUUUGUUGUGUAAAGUUGUGGAAAGAAUUGUGACCUAUGAACAUUGAGGAGCGUUGGCUCCAGUAGUAUAACGAAUUGUGAAAUUAUAAGUGAUAAUUGAAACUCUAGAGUAUUGGUUCGAGUUGUGAAGUGAAUUGUGAAGUAAAAGUGAGAAGGAGAAGAGAUCAUUAUGUUUCCCCCUUACUGGGCUAUUUUUGAGUUGUGGUUCCCUUGCAUUGUGUUCUUAAUUGAUAUUACGAAUGCAUAGGUUGAUUCUUUGGGUUAGGUGUUGUAACAAGUUUAGUUAUAGCUGAGGUAGUUAGGUGUCGUAACAAGUUUGGUUAUAGCUGAGGUAGUUAGAUGUUGUAACACGUUUGGCUAUAGCAGAGGUAGUUAGAUGUUGUAACAAGUUUGGCUAUAGCAGAGGUAGUUAGAUGUUGUAACAAGUUUGGCUAUAGCUGAGGUAGUUAGAUGUUGUAACAAGUUUGGUUAUAGCUAAGGUAGUUAGAUGUUGUAACAAGUUCGGUUAUAGUUGUUUCUCCCUUGCCGGGAUAUUGUGAGAUAUCAUUGUUUUCUUACCGGGAUGUUUGUUGAUAUUAUUGUUCCCUUGCCGGAAUUCCUUGUGAUUAUUGUUGGCUUGUAAUUGGGAGCGGGUGGUACGCCUACCACAAGAUACAAUGAAAUGUGAGCGGGUGGUACGCCUACCACAAGAUACAAUGAAAUGGGAGCGGGUGGUACGCCUACCACAAGAUACAAUGAAAUGGGAGCGGGUGGUACGCCUACCACAAGAUAUAAUGAAAUGGGAGUGGGUAGUACGCCUACCACAAGAUACAAUGAAAUGGGAGCGGGUUGCACGCCUGCCACGAGAUACAUGAAAUGGGAGCGGGUGGCAUGCCUGCCACAAGAUAUGAGAAAUGGGAUCGGGUUGCACGCCUGCAACAAGAUGUGAAAAGAAAGUGAAAUCUGCCUUUGUUUUUCUUUAAUCUUGUUAGUGGUUGGAUUCCUUUAUAUUCUAUUGAUAUUCUGUUUUUACUUGUUUUUCCCCGAAGUAUGUUCCCCCCUCCCUAGUUUUAAUUGUUUAUUUUCGUAUUUCUUUUCCGCUAUAUAUAUUUGAACUUCAUAGGUUUAUUUGGUAGUUUGGUCCUGGCCUCAUCACUACUUCGUUGAGGUUAGGCUAGGCACUUACCAGCACAUGGGGUCGGUUGUGCUGAUAAUACACUCUGCACUCUUUUGUGCAGACCCCAGUGUUGUGGACUUCGGACCGUGGUGAGAUUGUUGAUUCUUGAUCAUCAGGCGACCCGAGGUAGUCCUGCAGGCAUCCGCGGGCCUUGGCGUCCCCUUCUAUCUACUAUUCCUAUUUUUUUCAUGCAUUUCUAGAGACAGUGUUGUAUUUAUUUCUUUCAGAACCUUUAUUUGUAGUAUUCUUAGACCGUCUGUGAAACUGUGACACCAAUUCUGGGUGAUUAAGGUUUAAGCUGUUGUAAUAGAUAUAUGUUCAGAUAUUCUAUUGUUUUCUUCCACUUAUUCUGAAUUUCCGUUGUUUACCCGUUAUUGUUUUAUAUAAUGUUAAAGAGAAUAGAAAUUGGUAAAAAGGUAAAUUGUCUAAUAAUUGGCUUGCCUAGCUAACAUUAGUAGGCGCCAUCACAACUCCCGAGGGUGAAAAAUUUGGGUCGUGACAUUAAAUACUGGGUUUUCAGAACCGGGUGAAUUCUCUAUCCUACCUCACUCUUGGUUUUUCUGUUGUUUUUCUUUUGUUAGCCGGUCAAUAUAUAAACCGAAAAGAAUAAAUGUACACAUAGCAUGUAAGAUACAUCAGGAUGGUCUGGUCUUUUGGGUACACCUGUCCUAGACGGACCCAACCCCUGUGUUGAGUCCCCAAAGUUAAAUGCACGUGAUGCAAACAAACGCUCCUACUAGGGAUCCGGCAUGAGGUUAUGUUAUUCUAGGUUUAAACCUUGGGUUGUGUUCUUGAUCAGGCUUACCCGAGCGGACAACUCGAGCCGAAGAGUGGGCAAACGUACCGGGAGCACGAAAGUCUACCCGGCCUUGUUGCUGGCCCAGCCUCGUUCUAUUUGGUAUAACUUCUAACAGAAAAGUGGGCCACGAACGUGUGCACCAUUUUUUAGAAGACUCAGGUGGGAGGCGUAAGAAAACAAUUUAAUAUAAUUCAAAUAAUAUCAAAGCGGUAAAUAAGCGGCAAUAAGCACAUUAGGUCCACAAAUACAGUAAUAUCAACAAAUAAUAAAGCCAAGCAUAGAUCAUAUUAACAAGCUCGAAUUCUGAACCCUGAACCAAAGAUCAUGGGUUCUUUUCCCCAGCAGAGUCGCUAGAGCUGUCACACCUCCUUUUUACACCCAAGAGGGGAUAUAAGGGAGUUUUUCAAAUUAAAGUGAUAUUAUUCGAAAUUGGAUUAUUUAUUUAAUUUUCAGAGUCUCCACUUGGAAUAAUUUAUGGUGUCCCAAGUCACCGGUUUAUUUUAAAGACCAAAUCGAGGAAAUUUCGACUUUAUUUUAAAAGUCUGCGAACCAGAAAUUCUACGUAAGGAAUUUUGUUAACCCGGGAGAAGGUGUUAGGCAUUCCCGGGUUCCGUGGUUCUAGCACGGUCGCUUAGUGAUUUGUACUUAGCUUAAGUCGUUUAACUACUCAUUUUUAGGACUUAUGUGCAUUUAUCUUUUUACCGCUUUUAAUCACUUGAUUUGUUCGUAAUGAAAGAAUUGAGUUAUGCGUACGUAUACUCAUUUCCUUUGGCGCGUCAAAAAUCAUGUCAUGCGUACGUGUCCAUAAUUAAUCACGCUUUAUUAAUUAAUAAGAAAACUUGGUUGAAGUUGCGCGAACGCAUCCCUCGAUUUAUUUUUUAGAAUUAAAUUCGUAAUUCUGUUAUGCGAACGUAUAUAUAAUCACAAUAAUAGUCUAAGCCAUGCCUAAAGCAAACUAACAGUGUUCAUUAUUCUUCCUAAAAUUUGAGAUUAUUGUGAGGCUUAAGAGUUAUACAUCCUUCUGACUUAGCACCACUCAUGGCAUAUUAUUAUUCCUUGCCAAGAAAGAAAUAACUCCAAAUUUUCCAUCUACCCAAAUUAAAAGCAUUUAUUCGAGAACCAAGACUACGUACAUCACAAUCGAAAUAAAAACUAAUUAAAAUAAUUUAAUUUCAAACUAAGUCAUGCCACUCAAACAAUGUAGAAACAAAAAUCAACCAACACACGCACCAAGCUAUUGUAAGAACAAUGAAAUGAGAAUAAAAAUUGAGAAAUAGGCCUUUUAUUGAUGAACAAAACUAAAUAUUGCAAAUCAAUCAGGCUGAACAAGGCAACAAUCUUGAGAUUGAAACAUCAAAAUUAAGAAUCGGAACCUCAAAUCGACACAGGAGAGCUCGAAACCCAAAUCGACCUCAGAUAAACUAGAACCUCCAAACAUCUGACAAAGCAGACCAUCUCUUAAUAUUUUUGCUCUUUAAAAUGUUUACCACUGCCGAAAACUUUGUGAACAGGAUGUUCCCUACCAAAAAGCCGACGAACUUUAGACUUAAACCACGACGUUACGGGAGGAGAUGACGUUGUUUUCUUAUCGUCAUCAGAAUAAGAAAAAGACGAAGAAGAGUGAUGGUUAUUAUUACUGAGAUAAAGUGUUUCAGUGAUUUUAUUUUUUAUAGAUUCUCUGGCUCAUCCGAUUUCUCCACUUUACACUCCUCGUGUUCCUACAUUAUCAGUAAAGUAAAACCCAAAUCUUGAAAUUCAGUCAAGUUAUGUGUCUAUUGUAUCUGAGAGAAAAAGUUGUAAAGAUUCAUUUUUGUGUGUUUGUAUUUCUUUCACUUUUUAAUUUUUUUGGAACAAAACAAGGAAAAGAUCAUAGAAUAAAGAUGAAAAACCUUAGCAAUCCUGUCGUUUUUAGUGUAGCUCCUAAGUCUAGGUAUUGAAAACUUAGGGUUGGGUUCCUAUAAUUGGGUAUUUUAUAUGGAGGUGGAAAGGGAUGAUGGCAAUUGGAUUAGAAGGGAAUAGAUGGCUAGGAUUAAAUCUUGCACUUAAGUGGGCUAAUGGGUUGGGAAGAAUGGGCUAAGGGUAAUUGGGUUGGACCAUGUCUUUUGGAUUUGAACUUAGGCUAAAAAGACCAAAUAAUACAAUGUAUCUAUAAAAAUGUAAAAAUCACUCUAAAUUAAAAUAAACUAAUAUAAAACUAAACACUACGAGUGAAACUAAUUUUUUGUAUUUUCAAAUGUUAUAAUACUAUAAAUAUAAAUAUACUAAUUGACUUUAACCUAAAGAUGAAAAUAUUUAUUUUAUUUUUUUUNNNNNNNNNNNNNNNNNNNNNNNNNNNNNNNNNNNNNNNNNNNNNNNNNNNNNNNNNNNNNNNNNNNNNNNNNNNNNNNNNNNNNNNNNNNNNNNNNNNNNNNNNNNNNNNNNNNNNNNNNNNNNNNNNNNNNNNNNNNNNNNNNNNNNNNNNNNNNNNNNNNNNNNNNNNNNNNNNNNNNNNNNNGUAAUUUUUAUUUUUUGUGAUAAAAUAAAGUAAAAGAGUCAAAACUAUUUAAUAUAAUGAUAUUAAACCUAAACUAAAUAUUUUACGCUAAAACGUGUAAAAUCUUGGGGAGGGUCAAAAAUUACAUGUCUACAGACUAGGAAUAUUAUCCUUCCAACCAUGUUGUAGCCAAUUCUGAUAGUAUUCAUUCUAGGUCCAAUGACCUCAUCUCAUCCAACACAACCACUCUAAUGACAUGACACAUCAAUACAGUCCAAAGCCAUAACCUGUGCAACUCGUGCACCCAAUAGCAACAUCCCCAAAUGUACUCAAAUCAUGAAAAAAAUGACUCAAACGGGAGGACUAUCCCGCAAGCUUAACAAGUACUGCCACAAUGAAAUACUGUAAAUUCAUCACACCCCGUAGGACCAUCACACGAAUCUAACACAGGUUCAUACCUCAACAUAAUUUUGCUGCAAUGUGUGCCCCAUCCAAACACUAAUCCAUGGCAUAUACCUCAAGCCACCUUGCUCAAAAUCAAUAACCACGCGCAACGACAUCAAGUACUCAAAGUGCAUUACCAUAACCAUGGAGAAGCAAAUGACAUAACACCACAUGAAACCCGAAAGAGCAUAACCAAUAUGCUAUACAUCAAGCGAUAUCCAAUACUCUUCUCGCUCAAAUCCGUUAUAGGACUCCAAUAGAACCACACUAUAUGUGUAUACAACCAACAAAUCAUGACCCCUCAUAAUAUAGAAGAGUAGCUCAUAGAUCACUCCAGAACACGAAUAAGCUCAACAAUAAUCGAAUGGCACAUCCCUCAAUAAUAGCAAUUCAAAGUCAACAAAUCUGACCCGGUACAGAACACACCUCCAUGUUGGGCCUACCAAUGAACCCCAAAUCUACUCUGGUCCCCCACGAUAGAUAAAUAACCCUCUGAAAGUCUAAAUGACUGAAUCACAACAUAUACUAACCUCUGACUAAACUUGGAUACUUUUUACGGUCGACAACCACGAAACAAUCUACUCACCAGAACUCUCAAUCUCUAAAUCCAUAGAAUAUACGAAUCACCAUCUCUGAUCUCAACUCCACCGCCUAAAUGCCCAUACUUCUCCAAUUACACAGUCACCCCACGAGGAAUACUUCUAGAAGUCUUCUAUACCACAAAGCAAAAAUUGAACUCCAGCAGUCGAUCAAACAAGAGAGUGUCGCAAUACCAAUAAAGUAUCCAUAACUCCCACACAUCGCCCUUUCUGAAAUGUAUAAUCUCAUUAAGCCAUACCAGUUAGUAAUAUCAUUUACCUAGUCAUCAGAAAUUGUCCAUGUUGCUUAAGAAUUUAUGACCUUCCUUUCAGAAUUGAACUGUGACCUUACACAUGCAAAUCCCAACCUUACACAACUUACCACAUAUACCAUGUCAUCCCAUGAUAAAUAUGAGAACUUCAUAAUCCACUUCGAGUCACAAGCAACUAAGUACUCAACUAGCCAAGAACUUUUCAUUUGACCCCAUCUAGGAGAAGAUCACUACACAUCACAUGAUCCUCACGCCAGUAGAAGAUAUACCUCUCUAACCAUGGUAGAAACCACCAAGAACUCUCUGAAUCCCAUUUGCUCAAAACCCAACCGUCAGGAUUGAAUCCUUCUACCCCAACCAAGCUACACAUGUCACCAAAACUCAAGCGCAUCACCACGAAACACAUGUAGAAACUCAUUACCUCAUAAACACCCAAAGAACUAAUCAUACCCAUUACCAUGUCAAUCCAACCUACUACCAAGCUAUCCUAUUUAUUCGAGUUCCUUCUGAAUUGCAUUCACAUUGAUACUUCUCCUCACCAUAAUACCUCAAUCCUCAAUCCAGACUCACCACAUGAGACCCUAACAUAAACCACACUGCCCUAAGGCUCAUAAGCCGCUGAAUGCUCUCUUAAGCACCCCAAAAGUACCACAAUCGAGAUACUCACUCCAAAGAGACCUUCUAUGAAUUUCAAGUUGUUCAUCUUACUUUCUUGAUACUGAAAUGUAUAAUCCACAAUGAUGUAGAAACACUGCGAGCCUCGACACUAUCCAAUGUAACUCUUAGCUUCAAGCCACAUACGAACCCCCAAAAAUUCUCAAUUGCCAUAUAUAAAUAUUGAAUUCAUUAGAACCAUUCUCGAGAGUUAUCCACUCUGCUUAAAUCUUGAUUAGACAGAUCAAAUGGGCUAAUCGACCUUAGCCCCAUUAGCACUCCAACACCCAAGGAUGUAACCCCACCUAAAUGCAACCAGAUAAAUUUCUGCUCCACGAACAUUAUAUCCUUAACCAAUAAGAACUCAAAUCAUUCCAUGAUUCUCAUAUACUCAUAUAAUCUAAUAAAACUCAUACCCAGAAAUUUCCUUUACUCGAGUCAUCCUUGAUCUCAACCUCUGCAAGUCAUAACUGAUUCACCAGUAUACCUCAAACUGAAACUAAUAUGACACUUAGUCGUGCAAUCAACUUAUCAAUAGUAGACUCCCCCCUUGGAUAAAAGCCAUAGAUCAAAACACACAAAAACUCACAAUGUCCAUACUCUAUUACUUCCAUAAUACCAUAGUGAGAUUGAACUAAAUCCUUCAUAAGCUUGUUCAACACAACCAUCUAGUACUUCAAUCAUCUACAAAUCUCGCAUUUACCCUCGUAAUAGUCAAGACAACUCUCAUACGCGAUCCAAACUCAAUCUGCAGCAUAUAUAAUUCACUGGUAAAGGAAGACUCGCUACAAAAGAGCAUAGGGAUCACACGCCCUCAGGACACCCUACAGGAGAUAACCCACCUACUUUGCCUCAAACUAACAUCUCUUUAUACCUUUCCACCAUCAUAAACAUCACGCAAUCACUUAAUAUUCCUGAGUCUGAACUCAUAUCAUGACAUAAAAUCUACUUCGUUCCCCAACUAAACAAUAUGAAAAGAUCCUUCAACACACCCAUAACUCGGGGCUAUUCAUCAAAUCAAGAUGGAAAUCAAGAACCAAAUAGUUCUUUCUACCCUCAAGAAGACCCUCCUCAUCACAUCCAAAUCAUAUGAACAUAUCUCGCAGUCACAUCAUACUCAUCACGUAGCCAUCCAGUCAUUACUUCCACUAAUAUGGACACUACCGAACAUAUAAAUCCAAAAGCACGCUCUCACACAAUCAACACCUUAGUGCUCAAGCUAGAGGCAAAGCCCGGACCCAAGUCAUCCAGACUGGCCCAACAUCAACACACAAAAAUCACAUCUCGCCUCUCAUUUAGGGAAUCACAAGCCGUCGAUGCACAGCUGAUACCAAGUGCUCAUGCGCGCAUAUGAAUGCGUGGAAGGAAUUUCAAGAGUUACAUUUCAAGAUGAAUCAAUGCCGCACGACAAGAAUUUCAAGAAUGUGGGAUUUCCUAAAGGUUUUGCAGCCUCUCAAAGAUAGGUACAGACGUCUUUGUACCAAUCCGUGAGACUCUACUAAACCUUUCAUGACUCGUGAGACCUAUGUAACCUAGGCUCUGAUACUAACUUGUCACGAACUAAAACUAACCCUAUCGUGAUGGCGCCUAAAGUGGUACUAGGCAAGCCGAUACACUACCAAACCCAAUCACUAUUUUUAUUUUUAAGACAAAACCAAAGUUAUUUAACAAUAAACCAGCAUAAGGAGCUUAAAUCAAAACAACAGUGCGGAAAAAAAGCCCGACAUCAGGGUAUCACUAGUCAUGAGCAUUUACUACAACCGUCUGACAACAUCAAGACUAACAUAGCCUAAAAAUAACUGAAUACAACUAAGGGAGGAUAAAGAGGGAGAAAAGUAGGGCUGGGAUUGUCAGGCAGCUACCUUACUAACUCUGAUGGACCGUCCAUUGAUUAAUCAACACCCGCUAUCGGGUUUAGAAAUACCCGGAUCUACACACAAUGUGCCGGGAGUAAUGUGAGUACAUCAACUCACUAAGUAAUAAAAGUAAAUAGAGACUGAGCAGUAAAACCAUUUAAAACAUCUUUCAACAGUCUUCAAUGAAGUGAUGAAACAGUGAGUAAAAAUGGUGAAAACAUAUACAGCCCCUUAGGCAAAACUCACUCGUAUAUAGCCCCUCGGCAAACAUCACUCGUGAACAUCCCCUCGGGCAAACAUGAAUCAUAAACAGCCUCUCGGGCAAACCUCACAAUCACUCAUAUACAGACCCUCGGGCAUUACUUCAUAUCACUCGUAAACAGCCCCUCGGGCACAAUAUGAAUCAAGAACAGCCCCUGGGGCAAAACAUCGUAUCACUCACUCAGGGUACCCAUGCUCACUAGGGCUGUACAGACUCCGGAGGGGCUCCUACAACCCAAGCACUAUAACAAGUGACCUCGUGGAAUAAAUCAAUCAGGCCCUCCUUUUUAUCACUCGAGGGGUAUAUAAGAGAGUUUUUCCAAUUAAAGUGACAUAAAUCGAAAUGGAAUUAUUUUAUUUAUUUAUCAGAGUCUCCACUUAGAAUAAUUUAUUUGGUGUCCCAAGUCACCGGUUUAUUUUAAAUCCUAAGUCGAGGAGAAUUUGGACUUUAUUUAAAAUCUGCAAAACCAGAAAUUCUAGAUAAGGAAUUCUGUUAACAUGGAGAAAGUGUUAGGCAUUUUCGAGUUUCAUAGUUCGAGCACGGUCGCUUAACUAUUAAUAAUUGGCAUAUUAUCUAAUUUAUUACAUGUUUUAAACCUAGUGUGCAUUUUUAAAUUUAUUUAUUUAAAUCGCUUUUUAGGAUAUAUGGAAUUUAUUUUUUUGAACAAGUUACGAUUAUCGUACACUUGUCAUUUUGGAACAUACCGCAAAACACGCCACAUGAAAUGCACCCGUGAUUCGCGAUAUGUUUAUUUUAUUAUUGUUCAAAGUUGUUAUGAUCGGGUCACAUGAAGUGCACACCUGAAUUUGGGUUAGGUAUCAUGACUAUGCCACGGGAAUCGUACCCACAGUCACGAUGAUUUAUUAAUCGCGCCUAAAGCAAGCUACGAUGUAUUUAUUUGGUCCUAAAUUGAAUAUGUAGUUUAUUUGGUCCUCGAGUUGUCUUAUAUUUUAGAAUUUAUUAGUAGUUGGAUAAGGAACUCAUUUAGCCUUUGACUUUUUAACCUGAAGCUAUCUUUGGCUUUUCUGCAUUGUGUUCCACCAAAUGGUUGAUUGAAGUCAAGCGCAAGAGCCAAAUGUAUUUGCAUUUUCAAAUAAUAUCAAAACACAUCCAAGGAAAGGAAGUAAGGAAUAAAAAGGGAAACUAUGCCAUGUUCAUUAUAAAGGGUUAUGUGUACAGAUUUACCAACCCUAAGUAUCUCACAGAAUGAAGCUAAAGGCAAAAAAAACACAGUAUCUUAUAAUCGAGGGAAAUCGCAGAAAAACAAAGCGAACACUUGACGAGCUGUGAAAGUAUAUCAUACACAUAUGUCAUCAAACACAGGAAUAAAAAGCAAAUCCAUCUAAUUAGCUUUCAUCAAACACAGAAAUAACCAAAACAUGCAGCAAAUUUAAAAUAAAAAGUAGCAGACCGGUACUUGGGCAGAACGAACAAAAUAGCUUAUCAUAGCUAAAGCACAUGUCAUAGGUAUAAAUUAUAUAUACUGUUUUUCAACAAACAAACAACCACAUUAAGACCACAUCCUUAGGAAUUGAUUAAGUGCUACUGAUUACUAACAACAUGAGGACAUUGAACAGGGUGAUUUCAAACCAUUAUAUGCCUAUUUGUAUUAAUUUGUUACCGUUUGAAAUAAGAUCUCAAAACACAAACAAAUCGUAUAGCAUUAUUAGGAAAGGAUAAUUGCAUAGAUACAACAAUAAUCAGAAAUUCAUUGAAGACAAAAGGAAUUCAUUCAUUUUUUGACUUAACGGUGGCGUAAAUCACAACAAAGUACCUGCGUGUGUAGAUAUCACCUCCAAAACUCCAACUAAAGGCUAGAUGAGAAAUGAGCUUAGCACAGCGGAAAACCAAUAGAUCCGAACAAGGAGCAACAGCAAAUUUUCAACCAUAGUAGCAUUUUAAAACCCAGAAAAAUAGAAACAAACAGUAGCGGUUUGUUCCAGCCUUGGAGCUCGUCAGCGAGGGAAGCUCAGGCACAAGAGGGAUUUAUAGGAGGAGAAAUUGAAGUGUUGAUGGCUGUUUUUGGGACUUUUUGGUAUAGGAAUUUCAGUUGGGUUUUCAGAGCUUUUACAUGGGUUUGGGGCUGAUUUGAGCUCGAGUAUUAGAGCUGAAAAUGGUGGUGUUCGUGGUGUUCUAAGAGAGGUCCAUGGCUGAAAUUUUGGGCUAAUCCCAUCCCCCUUUCGUUUUUCUUUUCCCGGAUCCCCUCUCUCACUGUAUCGUCCUACCUUCCUCUCUAUCUAUGUGUGUCUUUUUUCAAUUGAAAGAAAGAAGCCAUCUCAAAUCAGAAGGGGAAAGAGGCUGAGGUACUACCGCUAGAAGCUAAUCUCAGAGGAAAGGAUUUGUUGUCUUUGCUCUCUGUUAGAAGUGAGGAAGAAGAAGAUGGGUGAGCUAUUUUGGAAGAUGAUGAGGGAAUGCAGAAGAAGGGGAAAAGCUGCGCUGUUUUGGGUGUUAGGGAUCUCCUCAAAUAAGGUCUAUUAAUGUGUGUUAGGUCUGGGGAUUUAAGGGUAAAAAUGGGGAACGGGAAGAUUGGGCUGGGGUUUAAAAGUUAAUUUGAGUCAUAUUUGGAAUUGGCCCAAUUUUAAAAGAAACAAGACCAAAAAUAUAUUCUUUCUAUUUUUAUUUUCUUUGUUUUUUUUUUCCUUUUUC